AGAUGGAUGAUUUUGUUCAGACAAAAUUGCUCGACUGGGGGCUUGGUGACCUGCUUCCUACUUUUGAAGCUGAGAAGAUCGAUGAAGAAUCAUUUCUGCUUUUGGACGGCGGCUGUCUACAGUCAUUGAUUCCAGUCAUUGGACCACGGCUCAAAUUUCAAAAGUACUUCAAUACGUUGCUUAAGUGCUUGACGGCCACUGGGAGGAGGCUGCUGCCAUUCCACCUGGUCCAAGUUUGACCCUGCC
This is a long non-coding RNA of Sardina pilchardus (European sardine), 246 nucleotides long. RefSeq lists it as uncharacterized. The transcript is spliced from 3 exons. NCBI's taxonomy places the organism in Eukaryota, Metazoa, Chordata, Actinopteri, Clupeiformes, Clupeidae. The record is from RefSeq and is a predicted model, not a curated record.